UACAGAGGGGGCAAGCGUUGUUCGGAAUUACUGGGCGUAAAGGGCGCGUAGGCGGCCUGUUAAGUCGAACGUGAAAUCCCCGGGCUCAACCCGGGAACUGCGUCCGAUACUGGCAGGCUUGAAUUCGGGAGAGGGAUGCGGAAUUCCAGGUGUAGCGGUGAAAUGCGUAGAUAUCUGGAGGAAUACCCGUGGCGAAGGCGGCAUCCUGGACCGGCAUUGACGCUGAUGAGCGAAAGCUAGGGGAGCAAACGGG
This 253-nucleotide ribosomal RNA is filed under the name uncultured bacterium. RNAcentral's name for it is "partial 16S ribosomal RNA". It matches the Rfam family "Bacterial small subunit ribosomal RNA", at positions 524 to 776 of the family's 1533-position model. The record is from RNAcentral.